UCCUACGGGAGGCAGCAGUGCGGAAUAUUGGACAAUGGGCGAAAGCCUGAUCCAGCAAUGCCGCGUGAGUGAUGAAGGCCCUAGGGUUGUAAAGCUCUUUUACCCGGGAUGAUAAUGACAGUACCGGGAGAAUAAGCCCCGGCUAACUCCGUGCCAGCAGCCGCGGUAAUACGGAGGGGGCUAGCGUUGUUCGGAAUUACUGGGCGUAAAGCGCACGUAGGCGGCUUUGCAAGUCAGAGGUGAAAGCCCGGGGCUCAACCCCGGAAUAGCCUUUGAGACUGCAUCGCUUGAACAUCGGAGAGGUAAGUGGAAUUCCGAGUGUAGAGGUGUAAUUUCCAGGUAUUCGGAAGAACACCAUUGGCGAAGGCGACUUACUGGACGAUUGUUGACGCUGAGGUGCUAAAGCGUGGGGAGCAAACAGGAUUAGAUACCCUGGUAGA
Molecule: ribosomal RNA, 440 nt
Filed under: uncultured Sphingomonas sp.
Lineage: Bacteria; Pseudomonadati; Pseudomonadota; Alphaproteobacteria; Sphingomonadales; Sphingomonadaceae
Description: bacterial SSU rRNA
Rfam family: Bacterial small subunit ribosomal RNA
Source: RNAcentral